UGAAUACGAGACGCUACGGCGUUGAAGCAGUCUAUGUCAUACUUCCAAGAAAAGCUCGCAAUGUCAUAAACAAAUAAUGCCUGUACCAUAACCGACACAGGUGGGUAGGUAGAGUAUACUAAGGGGCGCGAGAUAACUCUCUCUAAGGAACUCGGCAAAAUGACUCCGUAACUUCGGGAGAAGGAGUGCCUUAUUUAUAAGGUUGCAAUAACAAGAUCCAAGCAACUGUUUAUCAAAAACACAGGUCUCCGCUAAGUCGUAAGACGAUGUAUGGGGGCUGACGCCUGCCCAGUGCCAGAAGGUUAAAGAAGUUGGUUAGCAUUCGCGAAGCUGAUAACUGAAGCCCUGGUGAACGGCGGCCGUAACGAUAACGGUCCUAAGGUAGCGAAAUUCCUUGUCGGGUAAGUUCCGACCCGCACGAAAGGCGUAAUGAUUUGGAUACUGUCUCGGAGAGGGGCUCGGUGAAAUAGACUUGUCUGUGAAGAUGCGGACUACCUGCACCUGGACAGAAAGACCCUAUGAAGCUUUACUGUAACUUGAAAUUGAAAUUGGACUUUAUUUGCGCAGUAUAGGUGGGAGGCGUUGAGAGUAUUCUUGCGGGAAUAUUGGAGCCAUCAGUGAGAUACCACUCUUGUAAUGUUAGAUUUCUAACUUUGUAUCAUUAUCUGGUCAAAGAACAGUUUCAGGCGGGCAGUUUGACUGGGGCGGUCGCCUCCCAAACGGUAACGGAGGCGUACAAAGGUUUCCUCUGAACGGGUAGAAAUCGUAUCUAGAGUGUAAAGGCAUAAGGAAGCUUGACUGUGAGACCUACAAGUCGAGCAGGGACGAAAGUCGGUCUUAGUGAUCUGACGGUGCUGAGUGGAAAGGCCGUCACUCAACGGAUAAAAGUUACUCUAAGGAUAACAGGCUGAUCUCCCCCAAGAGUUCACAUCGACGGGGAGGUUUGGCACCUCGAUGUCGGCUCAUCGCAUCCUGGGGCGGUAGUACGUCCCAAGGGUUGGGCUGUUCGCCCAUGAAAGCGGUACGCGAGCUGGGUUCAGAACGUCGUGAGACAGUUCGGUCCAUAUCCGGUGUAGGCGUUAGAAUAUUGAGAGGAGCCUUCUUUAGUACGAGAGGACCGAGAAGGACAUACCUCUGGUGUACCAGUUAUCGUGCCAACGGUAAACGCUGGGUAGCUAUGUAUGGAGAGGAUAACCGCUGAAAGCAUCUAAGUGGGAAGCCCACCUCAAGAUAAGUA
RNAcentral lists this ribosomal RNA (1237 nucleotides) under metagenome. Its description in RNAcentral is "bacterial LSU rRNA". It matches the Rfam family "Bacterial large subunit ribosomal RNA", at positions 1564 to 2810 of the family's 2925-position model. The record is from RNAcentral.